This 28-nucleotide non-coding RNA is filed under the name Mus musculus (house mouse). Lineage: Eukaryota; Metazoa; Chordata; Mammalia; Rodentia; Muridae. The record is from RNAcentral.
UGGUUACUUGUGUCCUUGUUGUGAGAGG